GCCCGCUAGUUCAAGCGGUUAGAAUCCCGAAGCAUAUCCUUCGCCGGGCUCGGGGAUCCUAGGUUCAAGUCCUAGGGCGGGCACCA
This 86-nucleotide transfer RNA is filed under the name Flavobacteriales bacterium. Its description in RNAcentral is "tRNA-Ala". Lineage: Bacteria; Pseudomonadati; Bacteroidota; Flavobacteriia; Flavobacteriales. The record is from RNAcentral.